CGUUGCGAGUAUUAUCUUUGUAGAAGAAAUUUUUGGCGGGCCGAAAGAUCUGUGUUUGUUAUUGUUUUCAUCGAAGUGGUACAUGCUGCAUGGAACUGUGGUAGUAACUCAGCAACAGGGUGUAAUGAGUGACGUCGUGAUCACCGUAUUGUAUGUCCUUGAAAUAGUGUACACCGUGUUGAUGGCAUUACUGGUCAAAACAGUCAGGUGGAUUAAUGGCUUACUGCCAAUCUACCUUUUAUAAUUCAGUAGCAGAUCACUUCAUGUAAACUGAUUUUGUUCUUCAGAUAUAGUUUGUGUGUAUUUCAAUUAAUUAAAAAUAAUGCUAUGUUCCAAGGA
Molecule: long non-coding RNA, 339 nt
Organism: Schistocerca serialis cubense
Lineage: Eukaryota; Metazoa; Arthropoda; Insecta; Orthoptera; Acrididae
Exons: 2
Source: RefSeq, a predicted model, not a curated record